This 505-nucleotide long non-coding RNA is filed under the name Chrysolophus pictus (golden pheasant). RNAcentral describes it as "lncRNA (ENSCPIG00010006977.1)". The record is from RNAcentral. Lineage: Eukaryota; Metazoa; Chordata; Aves; Galliformes; Phasianidae.
CCUGGAUGCCAAUGGCCUCUCCCCUUCCUCCCGCAGGACACAGACAACUCCGGUGCCACUAUCCUACAUCUCGCAGCCCGAUUCGGUCACCACGAGGUGAUCGAGUGGCUCCUCCGCUUCGGAGGCAGCGAUCCCACGGCAGCCACAGACACGGGAGCGCUGCCGGUCCACUAUGCUGCGGCCAAAGGGGAUUUCCCUUCCCUGCGACUUCUCUUAGGACACUGCCCAAGCACGCUCAGUGCCCAGACCAAGACCGGUGCCACCCCUCUGUACCUCGCCUGCCAGGAGGGUCACCUCGAGAUCAUCCAAUACUUGGUGAAGGACUGCGGGGCCGACCCCCACGUACGCGCCAACGACGGCAUGACCCCACUGCAUGCUGCAGCCCAGAUGGGCCACAACACCGUCAUCGUCUGGCUGAUGAGCUUCACGACAGUGAGCCUGUCAGAGCGGGAUGACGACGGAGCCACGGCCAUGCACUUUGCCGCCAGCCGCGGCCACGCCAAGG